UAGGGAAUCUUCGGCAAUGGACGGAAGUCUGACCGAGCAACGCCGCGUGAGUGAAGAAGGUUUUCGGAUCGUAAAACUCUGUUGUUAGAGAAGAACAAGGAUGAGAGUAGAAUGUUCAUCCCUUGACGGUAUCUAACCAGAAAGCCACGGCUAACUACGUGCCAGCAGCCGCGGUAAUACGUAGGUGGCAAGCGUUGUCCGGAUUUAUUGGGCGUAAAGCGAGCGCAGGCGGUUUCUUAAGUCUGAUGUGAAAGCCCCCGGCUCAACCGGGGAGGGUCAUUGGAAACUGGGAAACUUGAGUGCAGAAGAGGAGAGUGGAAUUCCAUGUGUAGCGGUGAAAUGCGUAGAUAUAUGGAGGAACACCAGUGGCGAAGGCAGCUCUCUGGUCUGUAACUGACGCUGAGGCUCGAAAGCGUGGGGAGCAAACAGG
RNAcentral lists this ribosomal RNA (430 nucleotides) under Chloroflexota bacterium. RNAcentral's name for it is "Chloroflexi bacterium partial 16S ribosomal RNA". It matches the Rfam family "Bacterial small subunit ribosomal RNA", at positions 355 to 776 of the family's 1533-position model. Lineage: Bacteria; Bacillati; Chloroflexota. The record is from RNAcentral.